CCUACGGGAGGCUGCAGUGAGGAAUAUUGGUCAAUGGCCGAGAGGCUGAACCAGCCAAGUCGCGUGAGGGAAGACGGCCCUACGGGUUGUAAACCUCUUUUGUCGGGGAGCAAAGAGAGUCACGUGUGACUCAUUGAGAGUACCCGAAGAAAAAGCAUCGGCUAACUACGUGCCAGCAGCCGCGGUAAUACGUAGGGGGCAAGCGUUAUCCGGAUUUACUGGGUGUAAAGGGAGCGUAGACGGUUAUGUAAGUCUGGAGUGAAAGCCCGGGGCCCAACCCCGGGACUGCUUUGGAAACUGUGUAACUGGAGUACAGGAGGGGCAGGCGGAAUUCCUGGUGUAGCGGUGAAAUGCGUAGAUAUCAGGAGGAACACCGGCGGCGAAGGCGGCCUGCUGGACUGAAACUGACGUUGAGGCUCGAAAGCGUGGGGAGCAAACAGGAUUAGAUACCCGUGUAGUC
This 460-nucleotide ribosomal RNA is filed under the name uncultured bacterium. RNAcentral describes it as "partial 16S ribosomal RNA". It matches the Rfam family "Bacterial small subunit ribosomal RNA", at positions 338 to 795 of the family's 1533-position model. The record is from RNAcentral.